This 494-nucleotide ribosomal RNA is filed under the name uncultured bacterium. Its description in RNAcentral is "partial 16S ribosomal RNA". It matches the Rfam family "Bacterial small subunit ribosomal RNA", at positions 28 to 507 of the family's 1533-position model. The record is from RNAcentral.
GACGAACGCUGGCGGCGCGCUUAACACAUGCAAGUCGAACGGAAAGGCCUGCUUUCCCUUGUGGAUUGCGGGUGCUCGAGUGGCGAACGGGUGAGUAACACGUGAGUGAUCUGCCCCCAACUUGGGUAUAAGCCUGGGAAACUGGGUCUAAUUCCCGAUAGGACUGCAGGGUGGUGCCUGUGGUGGAAAACGAUUUUCUAGUGGUUGGGGAUGAGCUCGCGGCCUAUCAGCUUGUUGGUGGGGUAAUGGCCUACCAAGGCGGCGACGGGUAGCUGGCCUGAGAGGGUGGACGGCCACAUUGGGACUGAGAUACGGCCCAGACUCCUACGGGAGGCAGCAGUGGGGAAUAUUGCACAAUGGGCGGAAGCCUGAUGCAGCGACGCCGCGUGGGGGAUGACGGCCUUCGGGUUGUAAACUCCUUUCGACCGCGAGGAAGCCACCUGGUUGGAAGGGUGGUGACGGUAGUGGUAGAAGAAGCACCGGCUAACUACGUG